RNAcentral lists this ribosomal RNA (448 nucleotides) under uncultured bacterium. RNAcentral describes it as "bacterial SSU rRNA". It matches the Rfam family "Bacterial small subunit ribosomal RNA", at positions 330 to 795 of the family's 1533-position model. The record is from RNAcentral.
UCCAGACUCCUACGGGAGGCAGCAGUGGGGAAUAUUGCACAAUGGGGGGAACCCUGAUGCAGCGACGCCGCGUGGGUGAAGGAGCACCUCGGUGCGUAAAGCCCUAUCGGCAGGGAAGAAACAGACGGUACCUGACUAAGAAGCCCCGGCUAACUACGUGCCAGCAGCCGCGGUAAUACGUAGGGGGCAAGCGUUAUCCGGAUUCACUGGGUGUAAAGGGAGCGUAGACGGCGACGCAAGUCUGGAGUGAAAGCCCGGGGCCCAACCCCGGGACUGCUCUGGAAACUGCGUCGCUGGAGUACGGGAGGGGCAGGCGGAAUUCCUGGUGUAGCGGUGAAAUGCGUAGAUAUCAGGAGGAACACCGGCGGCGAAGGCGGCCUGUUGGACCGUGACUGACGUUGAGGCUCGAGAGCGUGGGGAGCAAACAGGAUUAGAUACCCCGGUACAC